CGCCCCUGGCCCGACCAAUGACCUCAGGACAGGCGCAGCGCUCCCCCGCAGAUCGCCCAUUGGCCGAGCCACCCGCUUGUAACAGCGGCGGUACCGCCCCUCGAGCAGAGGGAGAGCCCCCCGGGGAUUCACUGAGCACAAGAUGGCGGUGCUGGCCGUCCGCCAGAGCCCAGGCGGGGCUGCUGCCGCCGCCAUUAGGCCCCUUCCCUUCCCCUCCGGUACAGCUUUGUAUCCGCCUAGAGGAGACCCAGGCAUGGCAGUGUGGAAGCGGCCGACUCCAUCUUCUGCCUCUGUGUGUCCCGCGCUCGUCAUCACCGCGACCAUCGCCCUACACCCCUUGGACAGCAGACUUUGCUCACCGCGACCGGACCAGCCCCGACCUCAGCCGGCCCACGCUGCAAACAGCGGCUCCGGCACCAGACUGCCUCGCCGAUCGACCCAGCACGCCACAGUGGUCGUUUCCUCUUUCCAGGAGCUGUAGACCAGGCCAGACCACGGCUGGUGCUCGCUUACCAGACAAAUACCGGAGCCGUGCAAUCCCCCUCCCCUAAACCCACCGUCACCCCACCCCUCCCCUCGCGGGGGUGUCCAGAGUAGGGCCCGCUGCCGCCUCCCCGCGCCCCCUCCCUCGUCCUGGCCCCCACGAAACAAACCCACCAGGCCGCUUCAAUUUUAAAAAAUGUUUUUUACCUCAGGAAUGGGCGCCAAAGGUGCAGUGGCGGUGACCCGACCGGGCCCGGGCAGGCCGGUGCCCAGCAGCGGCCCUCCCUCCCCCCGCGGGGGCUGCAAGGGGCUGUGGGGCCCGCGGAGGGGAGGGGGCCGGGGCUGUGUUGGGGUCGGGGGUGUUUUGUUAUGUGUGCCGUGCCCUGUGACAGGUCAGAGUUCGUGACCCCACCGCCGCCGCCCGGUAGCGCGGUCCCGCUUCCUCUUCCAGCGCCAGCCCGGCCGCGGCCCCUCCAUCCCCCGCGGGGCGGGGCCGGCGACGGGGAGGGGCUACCGGGCUACCUGGGCCUUCCGAGCCCUGCACCGCUCCGGCCGUGCCGGGGACGUGCCGGGAGGACCCUGGCCUCCGGCGCAGCGAGGGGAAGGUACGUUCACCGCCUUUGUUCCUCUCGCUCGGGAGGCUCCUCAGGAGCUGGCAGCCCGAGGUAGCGGGUUGGCGGUGGCUGUCCAGUGCGCUGAUGGUAUUGAUGUUACAGGUGUACCUUGGUUCUCGCUGACGAUACAAUCAAAGGUGGGCUCACAGUAGAGCAAGCUCUCACAAACGCCACCGCCAGACUGUCGAGUUUUUAUUUAAUUUUGUAAAUUCAAUGUCAUUGAUUAGGGCUCUUACGGCAAAGCUUGCUGUGAGGUAUGUUGUGCCUUCAAAUACACAAUGAUAGGCACGAAACAGGUUCGGGUGUAGCUGAGGUGGUGUAGGAAUUUACCACGUUUCAGUGCUUGUCUUCUCACAGGCUAACAGAUGUUCACCCCUUGUCAUAACUAGCUACUUCUUAACCUACUCUCAUCAAAAUGUUUUUAAUGCUUCUAGUAGGUUUCCCUUGAGUCUUACAAUUUUUACAGAAGCUAAUUUAAGAAGCAGUUCGAUUAAUAAGAUAACGCCUGAAACAAAACGGAAGACCUACCAGUUGAAUGCAACAAUCACAGAAACGAGGUGUUGUUGACUUAAUAGUUACAAAGUCAAUAUAAUGAUUUUUUUUUUUUUGGAAGAUUGUAGUUUUUUCUUAGAAAUGGCUCUUUGAGGUAAGGGUAUGAUUAAUGUACUAGACCUAUGAAUUACAGUCUUACUUUCACAGAACAAGAAUUAUUAAAGCAUGUGAUGUGCAGAUGUGUUUGCAAUACACAAAUAAAGGAAAAUGCUUCAAAAAUGUCU
This is a long non-coding RNA of Lonchura striata (white-rumped munia), 1873 nucleotides long. The record is from Ensembl. Lineage: Eukaryota; Metazoa; Chordata; Aves; Passeriformes; Estrildidae.